Molecule: ribosomal RNA, 253 nt
Filed under: uncultured bacterium
Lineage: Bacteria
Description: partial 16S ribosomal RNA
Rfam family: Bacterial small subunit ribosomal RNA
Source: RNAcentral
UACAGAGGUGGCAAGCGUUGUUCGGAAUUACUGGGCGUAAAGGGCGCGUAGGCGGCCUUCUCAGUCAGACGUGAAAUCCCCCGGCUUAACCUGGGAACUGCGUCUGAUACUGGAAGGCUCGAGUAUGGGAGAGGGAUGUAGAAUUCCAGGUGUAGCGGUGAAAUGCGUAGAUAUCUGGAGGAAUACCGGUGGCGAAGGCGGCAUCCUGGACCAUUACUGACGCUGAGGCGCGAAAGCUAGGGGAGCAAACGGG